GUCCACGCCGUAAACGUUGGGCACUAGGUGUGGGUCUCUAUCGACGGGAUCCGUGCCGUAGCUAACGCAUUAAGUGCCCCGCCUGGGGAGUACGGCCGCAAGGCUAAAACUCAAAGGAAUUGACGGGGGCCCGCACAAGCGGCGGAGCGUGUGGCUUAAUUCGAUGCAACGCGAAGAACCUUACCUGGGCUUGACAUUUAGGGAAAAGCUGGUGAAAGCCAGUGUGCUUCGGCGUCCUAAACAGGUGGUGCAUGGCUGUCGU
This 262-nucleotide ribosomal RNA is filed under the name uncultured bacterium. RNAcentral describes it as "partial 16S ribosomal RNA". It matches the Rfam family "Bacterial small subunit ribosomal RNA", at positions 793 to 1055 of the family's 1533-position model. The record is from RNAcentral.